Molecule: microRNA, 23 nt
Filed under: Tribolium castaneum (red flour beetle)
Lineage: Eukaryota; Metazoa; Arthropoda; Insecta; Coleoptera; Tenebrionidae
Description: tca-miR-2944b-3p
Source: miRBase by way of RNAcentral
UAUCACAGCCGUAGUUGCCUUAC